Molecule: long non-coding RNA, 1424 nt
Filed under: Mytilus galloprovincialis (Mediterranean mussel)
Lineage: Eukaryota; Metazoa; Mollusca; Bivalvia; Mytilida; Mytilidae
Source: RNAcentral
ACCCCCAAACGUGUCCAAUCCCCAAAACGUGUCCAUAUCAAGCGUUAUUUGGUUAUUGCUAUUUCAUUAACGUAUACUAAUUUUACCAUUUCAUUAAAAAUAUACAUAAGCACGUUAGUACUUUUUCAAAACGGAAGAAUUAAACUGGCUUAAAGUGGGGGCGUCAUUUCGGCUAUUUCGUUUGUAAAUUGUAAGCAAACAUGUUGAGUUAAACAGUACAGUUAACGGGUCAAAGUGUCCCUUUCUCUGCGCGUUAAAACUUUAAUGUUCUCUCUAAUUAUGCAUGAAAUACUGACAACUGGACAAUUCGCAAUCAACAGUCCUAAAGUUAAUUUAUUCAGUAGAACUGAAAAAAAACAUUAAAACUUGUAUGUUUUCUCUAAUUUGCAUGAAAUACUUGCAACUGGACAAUAUGCAACCAGCAGUCUAGAGUUUAUCUUAACAAAAGAACAGUAAAAACAUUAAAACAUGUAUGUUAAAAUGUAAAAAAAAAAAAAAAAAAAAAAAAAAAAAACAGGUAGCCUAUGUUCUCUCUAAAUAGAACUGCAAAAACAUUAAAACUUGUAUGUUCUCUCUAAAUAUGCAUGACAUACUUGCAACUGGACAAUACGCGAUCAUCAGUUUAAAGUUUAGUUUAAAGUUAAUGUGUACAGUACAACUGUAAAAACAUUAAAACUUGCAAAACUAUUGUGCGCUCUAAAUAUGCAUAAAGUACUUGCAACUGGACAAUACGUAAUCAACAUUCUAAAGUUUAUUUAUACACUACAAAAUAAAUUUGCAUUUAAAACCGGCGUUGAUCACAUAACAGUAAUAUUCAUAAAAAAAAAGAAUCUAUAAAACUUAUGCAUGAAAUAUUUGGCACUGGACGUUAUGUUUCUUAUCGUGUGUCUUUAGUGAUGGUGGAAACCUAAAAUUUAUUAAAAACCAGGAUAACAAGUUUAUAAUUUGAUGGGCUUUUGAAAUACACACAAACUAUUGACAAAAGUAAAAAAAAAUACUGUUAAAACCCCGCCAUGCAAUAUUCGGAUAAAUAUAAAAGGCAUCAUCGGAGUUUAUAAGUACAAAAUAAUUAACAAAGUUAACGAUUAAUUCAACUCCAGAACUAUGUGUAUGUUCGCUCUAAACGAAUAUGAAAUACUUGCAACUGGACAAUAAACAACUGCAGUCAAAGUUACUUAAUAAUAACAGAUUAAUUUUGCAAUUAUUAUAAUCAUUAAAAACCUACAUCGAACUAACUUAAUCUGAUAAAGAACAUCUUCAUCACGUGUGUCUCCCAUCAUAGAAUUGCCGUAAACGUUAUCAGCGAUUUUAUUUAAGAGAUACAUGUAAAAGCGCUAAAAGACGUGUAACGUUUUGGCGUUAAAUAUUGGACACGUUUUGGCGAAUAACAAUUAUCGGACACGUUUGGGGGUUAUGAAAUCGGA